AAAACGACUCUCGGCAACGGAUAUCUAGGCUCUCGCAUCGAUGAAGAACGUAGCAAAAUGCGAUACUUGGUGUGAAUUGCAGAAUCCCGUGAACCAUCGAGUUUUUGAACGCAAGUUGCGCCCGAAGCCAUUAGGCUAAGGGCACGUCUACCUGGGCGUCUC
Molecule: ribosomal RNA, 162 nt
Filed under: Primula alcalina
Lineage: Eukaryota; Viridiplantae; Streptophyta; Magnoliopsida; Ericales; Primulaceae
Description: 5.8S ribosomal RNA
Rfam family: 5.8S ribosomal RNA
About the family: 5.8S ribosomal RNA (5.8S rRNA) is a component of the large subunit of the eukaryotic ribosome. It is transcribed by RNA polymerase I as part of the 45S precursor that also contains 18S and 28S rRNA. Functionally, it is thought that 5.8S rRNA may be involved in ribosome translocation.
Source: RNAcentral